UGAGUUUGAUCCUGGCUCAGGACAAACGCUGGCGGCGUGUAUUAGGCAUGCAAGUCGCACGGACCUUCGGGUCAGUGGCGGACGGGUGAGUAACACGUGGGUAACCUGCCCUUCAGUGGGGAAUAACUCGCCGAAAGGCGAGCUAAUACCGCAUUCGACUUCCGGUGAGAGACCGGAUAGUGAAAGCAGCAAUGCGCUGAAGGAGGGGCCCGCGGCCGAUUAGCUUGUUGGUGGGGUAAUAGCCUACCAAGGCGACGAUCGGUAGCUGGUCUGAGAGGAUGGUCAGCCACACGGGGACUGAGAUACGGCCCCGACUCCUACGGGAGGCAGCAGCUAAGAAUCUUGCGCAAUGGGCGAAAGCCUGACGCAGCAACGCCGCGUGGGGGACGAAGGCCUUCGGGUCGUAAACCCCUUUUGCGAGGGAAGAAGUUCUGACGGUACCUCGCGAAUAAGCCACGGCUAACUACGUGCCAGCAGCCGCGGUAAUACGUAGGUGGCAAGCGUUGUCCGGAUUUACUGGGCGUAAAGCGCCCGCAGGCGGCUUGUUAAGUUCAAGGUGAAAUCUCCCGGCUCAACUGGGAGGGUGCCUCGAAAACUGGCAGGCUUGAGGUGAGGAGAGGGAUGCGGAAUUCCAGGUGUAGCGGUGAAAUGCGUAGAUAUCUGGAGGAGCACCAGUGGCGAAGGCGGCAUCCUGGCCUUAUCCUGACGCU
RNAcentral lists this ribosomal RNA (710 nucleotides) under Gemmatimonadetes bacterium enrichment culture clone M88. Its description in RNAcentral is "bacterial SSU rRNA". It matches the Rfam family "Bacterial small subunit ribosomal RNA", at positions 1 to 747 of the family's 1533-position model. The record is from RNAcentral. Lineage: Bacteria; Pseudomonadati; Gemmatimonadota.